GGCUCGGUAGCGGAGGGUCCGCAUCUGCUCUCCAUAGUUUGUGGAUUUGAUUGGAUCAAGCAGAGCAUGCCUGUUCGACUCAGGCUCGAGCCU
Mycena latifolia is the source of this 93-nucleotide non-coding RNA. Lineage: Eukaryota; Fungi; Basidiomycota; Agaricomycetes; Agaricales; Mycenaceae. The record is from the annotation of a GenBank genome assembly.